UACGUAGGGACCAAGCGUUGUCCGGAGUUACUGGGCGUAAAGGGCGCGCAGGCGGUCGGAUGCGUCGGGUGUGAAAGCCCUCCGCUCAACGGAGGAGAGUCGCUCGAAACGGUUCGACUGGAGGCAGGGCGAGGUCGGUGGAAUUCCCGGUGUAGUGGUGAUAUGCGUAGAGAUCGGGAGGAACACCAGAGGCGAAGGCGGCCGACUGGACCUGUUCUGACGCUGAGGCGCGAAGGCGUGGGGAGCGAACGGGAUUAGAUACCCCGGUAGUCCACGCAGUAAACGAUGUGCACGAGGUGUAGCGGGAGUUGACCCCUGCUGUGCCGGCGCUAACGCAGUAAGUGCACCGCCUGGGGAGUACGGCCGCAAGGCUAAA
RNAcentral lists this ribosomal RNA (376 nucleotides) under uncultured bacterium. RNAcentral's name for it is "bacterial SSU rRNA". It matches the Rfam family "Bacterial small subunit ribosomal RNA", at positions 524 to 898 of the family's 1533-position model. The record is from RNAcentral.